UGAGUACGAGCUGCUACGGCAGCGAAGUGGGUGACGUCAAGCUUCCAAGAAAAGCCCCAUACCCGUUAAGGCAUGAUGGCCUGUACCCGAAACCGACACAGGUGGGGUGGUAGAGAAUACCGAGGGGCGCGAGAUAACUCUCUCUAAGGAACUCGGCAAAAUGGCCCCGUAACUUCGGGAGAAGGGGUGCCACCGCAAGGUGGUCGCAGUGAAGAGGCCCAGGCGACUGUUUACCAAAAACACAGGUCUCCGCUAAGUCGCAAGACGAUGUAUGGGGGCUGACGCCUGCCCAGUGCCGGAAGGUUAAGGAAGCUGGUCAGCGUAAGCGAAGCUAGCGACUGAAGCCCCGGUGAACGGCGGCCGUAACUAUAACGGUCCUAAGGUAGCGAAAUUCCUUGUCGGGUAAGUUCCGACCCGCACGAAAGGCGUAACGAUCUGGGCGCUGUCUCGGAGAGAGGCUCGGCGAAAUAGUAUUGUCUGUGAAGAUGCGGACUACGUGCACCCGGACAGAAAGACCCUAUGAAGCUUUACUGUAGCUUGGUAUUGUGCUCGGGCUCGGAAUGCGCAGGAUAGGUGGGAGGCUAUGAACCAUUGCUUGUGGGUGAUGGUGAGCCACUGGUGAGAUACACUCUUUCCGAGCUAGAGUUCUAACAGCCACCCGUUAUCCGGGGGCUGGACAGUAUCAGGUGGGCAGUUUGACUGGGGCGGUCGCCUCCUAAAAGGUAACGGAGGCGCGCAAAGGUUUGCUCAGGCUGGUUGGAAAUCAGCCGACGAGUGUAAAAGCAGAAGCAAGCUUGACUGUGAGACCUACAAGUCGAACAGGGAGGAAACUCGGCUUUAGUGAUCCGACGGUUCUGCGUGGAAGGGCCGUCGCUCAACGGAUAAAAGUUACUCUAAGGAUAACAGGCUGAUCUCCCCCAAGAGUUCACAUCGACGGGGAGGUUUGGCACCUCGAUGUCGGCUCAUCGCAACCUGGGGCUGAAGUCGGUCCCAAGGGUUGGGCUGUUCGCCCAUUAAAGCGGUACGCGAGCUGGGUUCAGAACGUCGUGGGACAGUUCGGUCCAUAUCCGGUGCAUGCGCAGGAAUAUUGAGAGGAUUUCUCCCUAGUACGAGAGGACCGGGAGGAACGCACCUCUGGUGUACCAGUUAUCGUGCCAACGGUAAACGCUGGGUAGCCAUGUGCGGAGAGGAUAACCGCUGAAAGCAUCUAAGUGGGAAGCCCACCUCAAGAUGAGUAUUCCCAUGGGUUAACCCAGUAAGGUCACGGGAAGAACACCCGUUGAUAGGCUCUACGUGGAAGCGCAGUAAUGUGUGAAGCGGAGGAGUACUAAUAGACCGAGGGCUUGAC
This 1348-nucleotide ribosomal RNA is filed under the name metagenome. RNAcentral's name for it is "bacterial LSU rRNA". It matches the Rfam family "Bacterial large subunit ribosomal RNA", at positions 1564 to 2925 of the family's 2925-position model. The record is from RNAcentral.